Molecule: ribosomal RNA, 847 nt
Filed under: uncultured bacterium
Lineage: Bacteria
Description: bacterial SSU rRNA
Rfam family: Bacterial small subunit ribosomal RNA
Source: RNAcentral
GAGUUUGAUCCUGGCUCAGGAUGAACGCUAGCGGCAGGCUUAAUACAUGCAAGUCGAACGGUAAGUAUGAUAGCAAUAUUGUACCUAGAGUGACGUACGGGUGCGUAACACGUAUGCAACCUACCCAAAACAGGAGGAUAGCUCGGGGAAACUCGAAUUAACCCUCCAUGAGAUCAUAGAAUGGCACCAUUUGGUGAUUAAAACUCAGGUGGUUUUGGAUGGGCAUGCGUCUGAUUAGUUAGUUGGCGGGGUAACGGCCCACCAAGACGAUGAUCAGUAGGGGAACUGAGAGGUUGAUCCCCCACACUGGCACUGAGAUACGGGCCAGACUCCUACGGGAGGCAGCAGUAGGGAAUAUUGGUCAAUGGAUGCAAGUCUGAACCAGCCAUGCCGCGUGCAGGAAGAAGGCCUUCUGGGUUGUAAACUGCUCUUGUCAGGGGAUAAAAAUUCCAUGCGUGGAAGAUUGAAGGUACCUGGCGAAUAAGCCACGGCUAACUACGUGCCAGCAGCCGCGGUAAUACGUAGGUGGCAAGCGUUGUCCGGAUUUAUUGGGUUUAAAGGGUGCGUAGGCGGUUUUGUAAGUCAGUGGUGAAAUAUAGCAGCUCAACUGUUAGGGUGCCAUUGAUACUGCAGAACUUGAGUACAGAUGAGGUAGGCGGAAUUGACGGUGUAGCGGUGAAAUGCUUAGAUAUCGUCAAGAACACCUAUAGCGAAGGCAGCUUACUAGGCUGUAACUGACGCUGAGGCACGAAAGUGUGUGGAUCAAAUAGGAUUAGAUACCCUGGUAGUCCACACUGUAAACGUUGAUUACUCGCUGUGUGCGAUAUACAGUACGCGGCCAAGCGAA